Camelina sativa (false flax) is the source of this 535-nucleotide long non-coding RNA. RefSeq lists it as uncharacterized. The record is from RefSeq and is a predicted model, not a curated record. Lineage: Eukaryota; Viridiplantae; Streptophyta; Magnoliopsida; Brassicales; Brassicaceae.
UUAAAAAUCAGGCCUAUUAGUUAAUAUAAAAUAUUGUAACUCACUCGGUGACACAUCCACUCAUUCUCUCUAUCCCCACCAAAAACUUAGCAAUGAAUUUAAUCCGAAUUCACAAUUCUCUUUAUCUUAUCUGAUCCGAAUUCUUCAGACUUCGGAGCGAUCAUGUGGAAGCUGAAUAUCGUCGAAGGAGGUAGUCCAUGGCUGCGACCCACCAAUAACCACGUCAGACGACACUUUUGGGAGUUUGAUCCGAGUCUCUGUACGCCUGAAGAGCUCGACGCCGUCAAGGAAGCUAGGAAAUAGCUUUCAGGUAUUGGAGGGAGAAGAUCUUUGAAAUAGUCAAUUGAAAUUGAUUGUCUUGAAUAAUUAAAUGAAAGUAGAUAUCUAAGAAUUUUAAUUUUGGAAAGCAAUAAUUCGUUAAUAGGAAUUAAUUGAAUUGUGGCUAGGUUGCUUCUAAAAAUGGUUUAGUUAGAGGUUUUAUAUAGAGAGAGUAUUUAUUAUCUAUAUUAACAUUUUUGAAGUACAUUUUGGUUUA